RNAcentral lists this microRNA (21 nucleotides) under Corchorus capsularis. RNAcentral's name for it is "sRNA CCACVL1_17854". The record is from RNAcentral. Lineage: Eukaryota; Viridiplantae; Streptophyta; Magnoliopsida; Malvales; Malvaceae.
GGGGGGGGGGGGGGGGGGUCC